CUCAUUACUGCCUUGCAGUUUGAUCUCAGACUGCUGUGCUAGCAAUCAGCGAGACUCCCUGGGCGUAGGACCCUCCGAGCCAGGUGUGGGAAAUAAUCUCCUGGUGCACCGUUUCCUAAGCCCGUCGGAAAAGCGCAGUAUUUGGGUGGGAGUGGCCCGAUUUUCCAGGUGCCCUCCUUUCCUUGACCAGGAAAGGGAACUCCCUGACCCCUUACGCUUCCCAAGUGAGGCAAUGCCUCGCCCUGCUUCGGCUGGCGCACGGUGCCCUGCACCCACUGUCUGGCACUCCCUAGUGAGAUGAACCCGGUACCUCAGAUGGAAAUGCAGAAAUCACCCAUCUUCUGCGUGGCUCAUGCUGGGAGCUGUAGACCAGAGCUGUUCCUAUUCAGCCAUCUUGGCUCCCGGAUCCAGUUUAACUUUUGCAGAGAGACAAGAUCUCUCUCCAUUGCCAACACUGGUCUCAAACUCCUGGCCUCAAGCAAUCAUCCAACCUCAGCCUUCUGAGUACCGGGAUUACAAGUGCGAGCCACUGUGCCCAGCUCCUGUUUCUACUUUCUUAAGUGAACCUGAGGAAUACCACAAAUGUGAGCAUGGCUGGAUCUUUUGAAUUAAAAUCCACACUGGGAAAGAAAUAGACCUUGAACAUCUUGCCAAAGGCAAACCACUUCAAUAGAACAUGGCUGGCGGCCAUAUGGACAUAUUUGAAUCCAACAAUUAAUUCAGCAAAGAAAGCUGCUUGUGGCAAGUUUUGAAUGUGCCAUUCCAGGUAGUGCUUUGAUGAUAAAUGAGGAGAAGAUUGCAAAGAAAAUGACAGCAACAUUUAUAAAAGGAUUCCUCUUAGGACUCUAGAUGCACGGAGAGUGGCCAGAUUAAUACAGACUGGCAAAAGAAGAACUUGGCAAAGUGAUUUGAUCACACACUUCUCACCCUCACAUCUCCUGACAGUUCCCCUAAUCCCUGCCCCACUUCCCCGCCAUGGGCUUCCAUCAGGAAACUCCUUGAUAUCAUCUUCGUUACAGGAAUGCAGAUGUGAUUCCUAUGGAUGAGGGUAACCUAGAGGCUAGAAGAACAAUAGGACAGAAGAAGCCUGGGUCCCUGAACAACCUUGUGGAGCAUAGACACCUACGUGGCCUGGACUGCCAGCUCACAAUGGGCCUCUCUGUGAGAGAAGGAAACUUCCCUCUUGUUUAAGCAACUGUGCUUUUGAGAAUCUCUUGGUCUAUACCCUAAUGAAUAAGGCCAUCAUAAAUGGAUAUCAAAGUAAGGAAAUUUGUGUAAAUGAUUUAAUAAAACAUUACCUCAGGUAUGAAAUAAUUCUACCUUGUGCCUUGACAACAUCAGGUAUUAUUCAUGCCCUUUUCUCUCCCUGUAAUGUCUCUUAUCCACGGGUAGAAAUUAUAUUUUCCAUCUAAGGUUUGCUCAAAUAUUAUCUACUUAAGUAGCUCUUACCAAUUUUGCCUCUCCUCCUGAGCUGACCCUAUGCCUUCUAUGCUGUUCCAGGUAAUAUUAAUCUCUUCCUUUGUACUUCUUUCACAGAACAUACUUUUUUGUCUAACAUAAUAACUAUAGGCAUAAGUGUAUAGAUUCCACUAGGGGCUUCAGAACAGAAACUAUCAUCUUAUUAAUUUUUUUCUCCCUGAUAUCUAGGGAAAUAUGUUAUAUAUAAUAGGCCCUUAGUAAUCCCAUAAAUGUUUGUGAGAUAUUCACUGACUAUAAGCCAUACUCUGUAUUUAUUUAGCUAAAACAGACGUCUUUCAUAUUUAGUUAGCAGAAAAUGCUCACAUUUACUCCUUUCCUGUUUACCAAAUGAAAGGGUAAUUGUUUUUUCACAGAUUGCACUAGAAAAGUGUCUUCUCUCUCUUUUUCAAAUAGAUUGUCUUUAAAACAUAUGACAGGAAAAGUGACUAUUGUUAGGAUAAGAUAAUUACGAUUGUAACAGCUAGUUUAAAAGAAGUGUCAGUUGCUCCUGUUUUAUUUUUCACAGGAUAGAGCUGCGGCCUGUCUCAGUAUGAUGUUUUCAGGAUCUGGUAUAUAUUUUUAUUUUCCUACAUGAAUCUUUCAUCCUUUUACUGACAUUUAUUCAUUUUAUCUAAUUAUCCUAAAAGGAAAGCUCUGGCCAGGCAAAUUGGUUGUUGUCUGCCUCUGAAGAGACAUUCAUAUCGCGUCGCUUAGCUUUCAAGUUUUGUGAUCAGGAACCCUCAGGCCCAUUUUUAAGGAGGUUUCAGGCUAGCUGAGCUUCACUGUCUCCCAAAAUGUACAAAAUGAGAUUACAUGAGGGACAAGAUCAAUUUACUGGAAGGUACUUAAGCAGUAAAUCUGGAGCUUUUUGUCCAGUCACUAUUGCUUUCAAGCUUUGUAGCAGAAAAUUAAGCCACAAGAGCUUUGACAAAUUAGAUAUUACUACCUCUAAUUGUGUAUGUUUAAGCUUAUCACACUGAAUUGCAGCAUUGUAACUGACUAUUAUGCCAACAAGGCCUUCGUUUAAUCAGCGCAGUGCCAUUUAAUCGCAAUUAAUCACUCAACUAAAAUGUCAUAUUAAGGUCACAGAAACUUGAAGGGCUAAAAGAAAAGAGAACAUUAAAGUCAGCUGAUGGAGGAAAAGAGCAUGGUGUGCCAAGGGAAGUUCUGAGCACUCUUUUUCAUUAGAAGCUGGUAGAACAUUUAAUGAGAAUUCAGUCUUAACUUUCAGCUGAGAUCAGAACAACGUGCC
Molecule: long non-coding RNA, 2710 nt
Filed under: Homo sapiens (human)
Lineage: Eukaryota; Metazoa; Chordata; Mammalia; Primates; Hominidae
Description: HSALNT0081003
Source: RNAcentral